UACGUAGGGCGCGAGCGUUGCUCGGAAUUAUUGGGCGUAAAGGGCUCGUAGGCGGUUUGUCGCGUCGGGAGUGAAAACACCGGGCUUAACUCGGUGCUUGCUUUCGAUACGGGCAGACUAGAGGCAUGCAGGGGAGAACGGAAUUCCUGGUGUAGCGGUGAAAUGCGCAGAUAUCAGGAGGAACACCGGUGGCGAAGGCGGUUCUCUGGGCAUUACCUGACGCUGAGGAGCGAAAGUGUGGGGAGCGAACAGG
This 253-nucleotide ribosomal RNA is filed under the name uncultured bacterium. Its description in RNAcentral is "partial 16S ribosomal RNA". It matches the Rfam family "Bacterial small subunit ribosomal RNA", at positions 524 to 776 of the family's 1533-position model. The record is from RNAcentral.